This 345-nucleotide unclassified non-coding RNA is filed under the name soil metagenome. RNAcentral's name for it is "partial contains 5.8S ribosomal RNA, internal transcribed spacer 2, and large subunit ribosomal RNA". The stretch from base 1 to 119 matches the Rfam family "5.8S ribosomal RNA", at positions 35 to 154 of the family's 154-position model. The record is from RNAcentral.
GAUGAAGAACUUAGCGAAAUGCGAUACGUAAUGUGAAUUGCAAAUUCAGUGAAUCAUCGAGUCUUUGAACGCACAUUGCGCCCCCUGGUAUUCCGGGGGGCAUGCCUGUCCGAGCGUCAUUGCUGCCCUCAAGCACGGCUUGUGUGUUGGGCCCCGUCCUCCGAUCCCGGGGGACGGGCCCGAAAGGCAGCGGCGGCACCGCGUCCGGUCCUCGAGCGUAUGGGGCUUUGUCACCCGCUCUGUAGGCCCGGCCGGCGCUUGCCGAUCAACCCAAAUUUUUAUCCAGGUUGACCUCGGAUCAGGUAGGGAUACCCGCUGAACUUAAGCAUAUCAAUAAGCGGAGGA